Molecule: ribosomal RNA, 231 nt
Filed under: uncultured bacterium
Lineage: Bacteria
Description: partial 16S ribosomal RNA
Rfam family: Bacterial small subunit ribosomal RNA
Source: RNAcentral
AGUAACACGUGGGUAACCUGCCCCGAUGAUUGGGACAACCCGAGGAAACUCGGGCUAAUACCGAAUGUGCCCUCCGGCCAUAAGGCCGCUGGGGAAAGGAAGCUUCGGCCUCCGCAUCGGGAUGGGCCCGCGGCCCAUUAGCUUGUUGGUGAGGUAACGGCUCACCAAGGCAACGAUGGGUAGCUGGUCUGAGAGGACGAUCAGCCACACUGGGACUGAGACACGGCCCAG